CAUUUAAGGGCCAGCCACUGAAGGGAGGGUAUCUCUUGGAUCUAGGCUGCUUCCUGAGGAGGAGUGUUCUGUAGCUAGUGAUCUUCACAAAUUGGUAGAAGUCCCAGACUAGAUGAACUUUUGCCUUCAGAGCUAGCUGGUGCCUCAGGGCUUGUUUUGGAGAACAUUACCUUGAAAGACUGCCUCACCAAGUGAAAUUUGAGCCUUCUGAGCCUUGAGAAACUUGUAAUUGUAGAUUUCUGAGUUUUCAGACUGAAAGAAUUGUGCGCGCUGGUGUCUGCAGCAAAACACAGGCUAGGAUAAAGGCAAAGAAAUGUGCAUGGAAAUUGUAGUUAAGUCAUGUCUCAUGGCCAUUUUGUAAUUAUUCCAUUUGCCAGAAAGUGAGAAGGUUUUGAAAUACACUGCAGAGCAAGCUAAUUCCUGACGUUUCUGAUUAUAUAAUGUGACAUCUAACCUAAAAGCAAAUCACCUUAAAUUAAAACAUCUGCAUCACAGCUGUCUUCAUUUUGUAUUUUUUCCCCUUUACCUUUAUGGUAUGCUGAUACCUUGCUUGUAAUUAAAGGGAUGGACAAAAAACGGUUAAUUUUGAAAAUUUAUAUAUGUAAACAAAAUAAUUUAGUUUCCUAUUCAAUACUUCAGUCUCUAGAGUACUAGAAGUAGUGCAACUCUCUUAUGAGCAGUCUAGAGUGCUGACAACUGAUUUUAAUUCUUUUGGACAAUUGUGACAGAGAAGAGAACUCUGCACCUGAAUAUCAAUGCUGAUGACUUUUACAUUUGUCAUACUGGGUUAGAGACCUCUGAUCAUUUGAGACCAGUUUAAACAAUUGCAGACAUUACUAGUGUUUCUACUGAUCCAGUAAUUUCUACUCAGUUUAUACUAACUGCUUGAAAUUUCAAGUGAGUUAGUGGUGGCAGUUCUAUAGUGUUUUGUCUGUCGUUGGAAGACUUUUGGCACCAAUAAAUGCUAACUGUAUUAGAAAAAGACCUAGAGUGAAGAAACCAAUGCAUGGAUCGCAACAACUGUCCUCAGAGAUAUUUGAUAUGUGUUGAUAAUUGUUUUUACAAAGUUUGAAGGAAAAUUUUAAUUUGAGUAGCUGAAAUUCCAGAAUGUUCUAGGUAGUGAUAUGAAAUGUGGAAAGCAAAUUCUUCUGUCUUUUGUGCAGCUUUUAACACACAGAACAGUUAAUGAGAGAUACAGAGGAAGGAUUUCUGUGAAUUUUUCUGGGUGUGGUUAACAAGACCUCUGUGCUGCCUGGAACUGAGUGGUUCAAGGUAUGUUCAAUAGCAAAAAUGUGGUGCCCUGGAGAUCUUAAUUCUGGAAGUACAAUGGUGACUUUGGGAUAUGUCUAUGCCAUAAAACUGAAGACUGAUAUUGAUAGACAAGAAGCGGUAUAUGGCAGAUGGAAUGCAGCUACAGCAUUAGACUAAAAUGGUUAUGUCACUUUCUGAGUUUAUGCACUCUGAUAUGAAUAAUAAAUUUACUGGUUCAUUAGGAAUUACUUUAAAUACUUCUGUAUAGUGCUAUGCUUGUACUAUAAAGCUAUGGAAAUUCUUGUUAUUCUGAUGCUUUAACUGUAGUAACCUUCAGUGUAAGUUUACCUGAAGUUUAACAGCUAAAAAUGCAGUCCCAUUUCUUCCGAGUAACUUUUCACUAGAGUAGAAGCAAUUGUAUUUUCCUGUGGUGGAGGUUAUGAGGCCCUGCUCCUCGACAAGAAUUUCCAAGUGCAGAAAAGGUGGCAGAAAGAACUGUUAAACUGUAGACUACCAAUGUAACAAGGCUUCUGUCAUCCUCCAAUAAGCCAAAUAACAGUGAGAUUCUCACUUGACUAGAAUGGAGAGCUGAGUCUUUUCGUUGGUUUCCUUCUACCAUGUUUACAUUAUAGAUGCAUAAUGAUUCUGAAUGCUUGCUGAAAUUUUAACUUAGGUUUGUAUUAUACUGUGUGGUUAAAAAAAAAAAAAACAUGGAACACAUGACACAUGUGCGUUUUCUUUACCAAGAACAUGCUUUAGAUGAUAUUACACCGUGCUGACAUGAAUGAUAAUGAAGUUGCAUUAAAAAUACACUAUAUGUUUUUUUUUUAUUCCUUGAGUAUUCAGGAUUUAUAUUUUGGGGGAACAUAAUUUUCAAGCAAAAUUGUUAUUUAAUGUUACAGUUAAAGACUAAGAAAUGCAGAAAUGUGCAAAAAUAUUGAAAAUGAAAUACUUUCAGUAACAUUUAUCUCUACACACAGGAAGGUGAAAUCUGCAUGUAGGUUUGUAUCACUUCAUAAAAGAAACAGGAAACUUAUCAGUGUUUUCAAGCAGAUUCUAAUUAGAAUUUCUGACAUCUGUAAUGCAUACUAUAUGAGGACUGCAUAUUAAAUACUGAGAUGCAUGAAGCUGAGACCUUAAUGAAGCUAAAAGAUAAAUGUAUUUUCUUCAACCUGGG
RNAcentral lists this long non-coding RNA (2428 nucleotides) under Gallus gallus (chicken). RNAcentral describes it as "lncRNA (ENSGALG00010005812.1)". Lineage: Eukaryota; Metazoa; Chordata; Aves; Galliformes; Phasianidae. The record is from RNAcentral.